UCUUCCCUCUGGCGGCGUGCCUAAUACAUGCAAGUCGAGCGAACAGACGAGGAGCUUGCUCCUCUGACGUUAGCGGCGGACGGGUGAGUAACACGUGGAUAACCUACCUAUAAGACUGGGAUAACUUCGGGAAACCGGAGCUAAUACCGGAUAAUAUAUUGAACCGCAUGGUUCAAUAGUGAAAGACGGUUUUGCUGUCACUUAUAGAUGGAUCCGCGCCGCAUUAGCUAGUUGGUAAGGUAACGGCUUACCAAGGCAACGAUGCGUAGCCGACCUGAGAGGGUGAUCGGCCACACUGGAACUGAGACACGGUCCAGACUCCUACGGGAGACAGCAGUAGGGAAUCUUCCGCAAUGGGCGAAAGCCUGACGGAGCAACGCCGCGUGAGUGAUGAAGGUCUUCGGAUCGUAAAACUCUGUUAUUAGGGAAGAACAAAUGUGUAAGUAACUAUGCACGUCUUGACGGUACCUAAUCAGAAAGCCACGGCUAACUACGUG
Molecule: ribosomal RNA, 497 nt
Filed under: uncultured bacterium
Lineage: Bacteria
Description: partial 16S ribosomal RNA
Rfam family: Bacterial small subunit ribosomal RNA
Source: RNAcentral